RNAcentral lists this long non-coding RNA (644 nucleotides) under Pan troglodytes (chimpanzee). RNAcentral describes it as "long non-coding RNA NONPTRT007091". The record is from RNAcentral. Lineage: Eukaryota; Metazoa; Chordata; Mammalia; Primates; Hominidae.
UGUGGCCUGGGAGCCCAUACAGGAAGGGCAGGCUAGGCCUAGGCCAGGGGUCUUUAAAGUGGCCCGAUGCUAGCUGGGCGUGGUGGUGCACACCCGUAGUCCCAGCUACCUGGGAGGCUGAUGUAGGAGGAUCGCUUGAGCUCGGGAGUAGGAGGCUGCAGUGAACUAUGUUUGUGCCACAGCACUCCAGCCUGGGCCACAGGGCAAGAAAAGAGAAAAAUAAAAGAAAAGAAAAAAAAAGAAAGUGGCUUGGUGGACUGUUUGGGUUUAUACCUUUGGUAUUUCAGAGGCGUCUUAAGAAAGCCUGGGACCUCAGAUCAGAGCUGAGAAUGGGACACUGGGACGAGAACUGGUCAUUUGCCCUGGGGUAGCUCUGGCUGGUUUUCUGUACACCCCAUUCCAUCUCCCCAGGAGCGGUUUCAAGUCAAGAAUCCCCCCGCAGCCUACAUCCAGAAGCUGAAGAGCUAUGUGGAUACUGGUGGGGUCAGCCGAAAGGUAGCAGCUGAUUGGAUGUCCAACCUGGGGUUUAAGAGGCGAGUUCAGGAGUCCACACAGGUGCUACGGGAGCUGGAGACCUCCCUGAGGACCAACCACAUUGGGUGGGUGCAAAAGUUCCUCAAUGAAGAGAACCGUGGCCUGGAUGU